UGCGAAUGCUGACAUAAGUAACGAUAAAGCGGGUGAAAAGCCCGCUCGCCGGAAGACCAAGGGUUCCUGUCCAACGUUAAUCGGGGCAGGGUGAGUCGACCCCUAAGGCGAGGCCGAAAGGCGUAGUCGAUGGGAAACAGGUUAAUAUUCCUGUACUUGGUGUUACUGCGAAGGGGGGACGGAGAAGGCUAUGUUGGCCGGGCGACGGUUGUCCCGGUUUAAGCGUGUAGGCUGGUUUUCCAGGCAAAUCCGGAAAACUAAGGCUGAGGCGUGAUGACGAGGCACUACGGUGCUGAAGCAACAAAUGCCCUGCUUCCAGGAAAAGCCUCUAAGCAUCAGGUAACAUCAAAUCGUACCCCAAACCGACACAGGUGGUCAGGUAGAGAAUACCAAGGCGCUUGAGAGAACUCGGGUGAAGGAACUAGGCAAAAUGGUGCCGUAACUUCGGGAGAAGGCACGCUGAUAUGUAGGUGAAGCGACUUGCUCGUGGAGCUGAAAUCAGUCGAAGAUACCAGCUGGCUGCAACUGUUUAUUAAAAACACAGCACUGUGCAAACACGAAAGUGGACGUAUACGGUGUGACGCCUGCCCGGUGCCGGAAGGUUAAUUGAUGGGGUCAGCGCAAGCGAAGCUCUUGAUCGAAGCCCCGGUAAACGGCGGCCGUAACUAUAACGGUCCUAAGGUAGCGAAAUUCCUUGUCGGGUAAGUUCCGACCUGCACGAAUGGCGUAAUGAUGGCCAGGCUGUCUCCACCCGAGACUCAGUGAAAUUGAACUCGCUGUGAAGAUGCAGUGUACCCGCGGCAAGACGGAAAGACCCCGUGAACCUUUACUAUAGCUUGACACUGAACAUUGAGCCUUGAUGUGUAGGAUAGGUGGGAGGCUUUGAAGUGUGGACGCCAGUCUGCAUGGAGCCGACCUUGAAAUACCACCCUUUAAUGUUUGAUGUUCUAACGUUGACCCGUGAUCCGGGUUGCGGACAGUGUCUGGUGGGUAGUUUGACUGGGGCGGUCUCCUCCUAAAGAGUAACGGAGGAGCACGAAGGUUGGCUAAUCCUGGUCGGACAUCAGGAGGUUAGUGCAAUGGCAUAAGCCAGCUUGACUGCGAGCGUGACGGCGCGAGCAGGUGCGAAAGCAGGUCAUAGUGAUCCGGUGGUUCUGAAUGGAAGGGCCAUCGCUCAACGGAUAAAAGGUACUCCGGGGAUAACAGGCUGAUACCGCCCAAGAGUUCAUAUCGACGGCGGUGUUUGGCACCUCGAUGUCGGCUCAUCACAUCCUGGGGCUGAAGUAGGUCCCAAGGGUAUGGCUGUUCGCCAUUUAAAGUGGUACGCGAGCUGGGUUUAGAACGUCGUGAGACAGUUCGGUCCCUAUCUGCCGUGGGCGCUGGAGAACUGAGGGGGGCUGCUCCUAGUACGAGAGGACCGGAGUGGACGCAUCACUGGUGUUCGGGUUGUCAUGCCAAUGGCACUGCCCGGUAGCUAAAUGCGGAAGAGAUAAGUGCUGAAAGCAUCUAAGCACGAAACUUGCCCCGAGAUGAGUUCUCCCUGACUCCUUGAGAGUCCUGAAGGAACGUUGAAGACGACGACGUUGAUAGGCCGGGUGUGUAAGCGCAGCGAUGCGUUGAGCUAACCGGUACUAAUGAACCGUGAGGCUUAACCUUACAACGCCGAAGCUGUU
RNAcentral lists this ribosomal RNA (1673 nucleotides) under Escherichia coli. RNAcentral's name for it is "partial 23S ribosomal RNA". It matches the Rfam family "Bacterial large subunit ribosomal RNA", at positions 1289 to 2925 of the family's 2925-position model. The record is from RNAcentral. Lineage: Bacteria; Pseudomonadati; Pseudomonadota; Gammaproteobacteria; Enterobacterales; Enterobacteriaceae.